Molecule: ribosomal RNA, 699 nt
Filed under: Streptomyces sp. ME-17
Lineage: Bacteria; Bacillati; Actinomycetota; Actinomycetes; Kitasatosporales; Streptomycetaceae
Also listed under: 1 other name
Description: bacterial SSU rRNA
Rfam family: Bacterial small subunit ribosomal RNA
Source: RNAcentral
UCGAACGAUGAAGCCCUUCGGGGUGGAUUAGUGGCGAACGGGUGAGUAACACGUGGGCAAUCUGCCCUUCACUCUGGGACAAGCCCUGGAAACGGGGUCUAAUACCGGAUACCACUCUCUUCCGCAUGGGAGAGGGUUGAAAGCUCCGGCGGUGAAGGAUGAGCCCGCGGCCUAUCAGCUUGUUGGUGGGGUGAUGGCCCACCAAGGCGACGACGGGUAGCCGGCCUGAGAGGGCGACCGGCCACACUGGGACUGAGACACGGCCCAGACUCCUACGGGAGGCAGCAGUGGGGAAUAUUGCACAAUGGGCGAAAGCCUGAUGCAGCGACGCCGCGUGAGGGAUGACGGCCUUCGGGUUGUAAACCUCUUUCAGCAGGGAAGAAGCGAAAGUGACGGUACCUGCAGAAGAAGCGCCGGCUAACUACGUGCCAGCAGCCGCGGUAAUACGUAGGGCGCAAGCGUUGUCCGGAAUUAUUGGGCGUAAAGAGCUCGUAGGCGGCUUGUCACGUCGGAUGUGAAAGCCCGGGGCUUAACCCCGGGUCUGCAUUCGAUACGGGCAGGCUAGAGUGUGGUAGGGGAGAUCGGAAUUCCUGGUGUAGCGGUGAAAUGCGCAGAUAUCAGGAGGAACACCGGUGGCGAAGGCGGAUCUCUGGGCCAUUACUGACGCUGAGGAGCGAAAGCGUGGGGAGCGAACAGGAU